UACGAAGGGGGCGAGCGUUGUUCGGAAUUACUGGGCGUAAAGGGAGUGUAGGCGGUUAUGUAAGAUAGGGGUGAAAUCCCGGGGCUCAACCUCGGAAUUGCCUUUAUAACUAUGUAACUAGAGUAAUGGAGAGGAUAGUGGAAUACCCAGUGUAGAGGUGAAAUUCGUAGAUAUUGGGUAGAACACCGGUGGCGAAGGCGACUAUCUGGCCAUUUACUGACGCUGAGGCUCGAAAGCAUGGGGAGCAAAC
RNAcentral lists this ribosomal RNA (250 nucleotides) under uncultured bacterium. RNAcentral describes it as "partial 16S ribosomal RNA". It matches the Rfam family "Bacterial small subunit ribosomal RNA", at positions 524 to 773 of the family's 1533-position model. The record is from RNAcentral.